CCUACGGGGGGCAGCAGUGAGGAAUAUUGGUCAAUGGACGCAAGUCUGAACCAGCCAAGUAGCGUGCAGGAUGACGGCCCUCCGGGUUGUAAACUGCUUUUAGUUGGGAAUAAAAGGUGGCUCGUGAGCCCCGUAUUGUAUGUACCAUCAGAAAAAGGACCAGCUAAUUACGUGCCAGCAGCCGCGGUAAUACGGAAGGUCCUGGCGUUAUCCGGAUUUAUUGGGUUUAAAGGGAGCGUAGGCAGGCGUUUAAGUCAGCUGUGAAAGUCCGCGGCUCAACCGUGGAAUUGCAGUUGAAACUGGCGUUCUUGAGUGGGCGAGAAGUAUGCAGAAUGCGAGGUGUAGCGGUGAAAUGCAUAGAUAUCACGCAGAACUCCGAUUGCGAAGGCAGCAUACCGGCGCCCAACUGACGCUGAAGCACGAAAGCGUGGGUAUCGAACAGGAUUAGAUACCCUGGUAGUC
RNAcentral lists this ribosomal RNA (462 nucleotides) under uncultured bacterium. Its description in RNAcentral is "partial 16S ribosomal RNA". It matches the Rfam family "Bacterial small subunit ribosomal RNA", at positions 338 to 795 of the family's 1533-position model. The record is from RNAcentral.